AUGGAGGACUCCGUAUCUAGCAGCAAAAAAACCACGUCAGCGGCAUCUUGCAAUGUCCUCAAUCACUUCAAGUCUUGCCUCAUGUUCCUCGCUGAAAUGUAUGCUGACCUUCCUGCCAACACCCCUAUAACUGUAUUUGGCCAAUGUUCCAAGAACCUUGAGAAGAGGAAAUACAUAUUCCAGCAUGGGUUCGCAACUGAUCCGUGGUGCAGGGGAGUUGCGCCGCAUCCCCCACAUCCACCAACCACGGACCUUAUUGCAGCUCAUUUCUUGGAGCUGUCACAUCAAGAUCUGCGGAGGCACUACAUUGUACACGCCAGUCCUAGGCUUAUCCGCAUUACUGGGAAGGCUAUGCUUGAUUAG
Molecule: ribosomal RNA, 363 nt
Filed under: Triticum aestivum (bread wheat)
Lineage: Eukaryota; Viridiplantae; Streptophyta; Magnoliopsida; Poales; Poaceae
Description: partial small subunit ribosomal RNA
Source: RNAcentral